AUGAGCUUUUGGGGAGCAACAGUAAUUACAAGUUUAGCUAGUGCCAUACCAGUAGUAGGAGAUACCAUAGUGACUUGGCUUUGGGGUGGUUUCUCAGUGGACAAUGCCACCUUAAAUCGUUUUUUACUCCAUCAUUUACUCCGCCUUAUUUUAGUAGGCGCCAGUCUUCUUCAUCUGGCCGCAUUGCAUCAAUAUGGAUCAAAUAAUCCAUUGGGUGUAGGGAAGCUAAGUCUCGGGGCAUGA
RNAcentral lists this ribosomal RNA (243 nucleotides) under Triticum aestivum (bread wheat). RNAcentral describes it as "partial small subunit ribosomal RNA". The record is from RNAcentral. Lineage: Eukaryota; Viridiplantae; Streptophyta; Magnoliopsida; Poales; Poaceae.